This 504-nucleotide ribosomal RNA is filed under the name Triticum aestivum (bread wheat). RNAcentral describes it as "partial small subunit ribosomal RNA". The record is from RNAcentral. Lineage: Eukaryota; Viridiplantae; Streptophyta; Magnoliopsida; Poales; Poaceae.
AUGAAGAAGAUAGCGGCGGGAGCAUUCGCAGAUCUGCCCUGCAGUGUGUCCGAUGCUUCCGCAUUCUACCGGGCCGAGGAGGGGAGCUCGACGGAGAAGGUGUUUUGGUCUCAGUAUGCUGAGGCCGGACACCCGGUGCCCUUUAGCGACCAGCUGAAGCAGCUGGUCGAGCUCCAUAAGGUGCCCGAACAGGCGAUGAAGGGCCUCAUAGUUCGGCUGUGGCCUGAGGAAGCCAUGCUUGGGAGCUACUUCGGGCUAGUGAGGAAGCUGGUGGACGCCUGUCCGUGGAUUAAAGUCGUCAAGCGCCCCGUCUGUAUCGAAGGUGCCCGUAGGGCCCUUGCCCGUGCUAAAGUACACUGGGGCAAGAUGGACGCUGAGAAGCUUGUGACGGAUGCUCCACCGCCGGGCAGGGAGUAUCGCAAGCCCGAGAUGUAUUAUGAGGGCGUCCUGAAGGGUGCCCGCCUUAUAGCGGGUGAAUGCUCCAAAGAUGUAAUUUUUGAGUAA